AUAACCGCUCGAUCCCAUCUCCAUCAUUAGCUAUAUCCACUUUGACCUGAGAUCUGCUCAGGGUAGUCUCCUGCGGUAAUAGAAACUUCAUCUUGCGAUGUCGUCUCUCAUCUUUUUGAAUCUUUCAUCUCGUAUCGGAUCCAUCUGCUCUUGGAGCUCCACCUCGCACUGGGCUCCUUACCAAGAGGUAAUAUUCUCCAUACUGCUUCCCCUUCAUCACGAUCCUAUUAUCGCAUAUGAUCUUUAGGAUUCCUCUAUUAGCUCUUCACCUGUAGCC
This 277-nucleotide long non-coding RNA is filed under the name Elaeis guineensis (African oil palm). RNAcentral's name for it is "long non-coding RNA (EGUI_LNC029338)". Lineage: Eukaryota; Viridiplantae; Streptophyta; Magnoliopsida; Arecales; Arecaceae. The record is from RNAcentral.